GACGGCAGAGACAGAGGACAGCAGACACACAGGACGGCAGAGACUGAGGACAUCUCUUCUUACCUGCGGUGGUAACAAAAGAUGAAGCAACACAUUUUAUUCUUUAGGGGACACUCUGGAGGUUCAGUCCAGGACUCUCCUUCCUCUACUCUUGCACAUUAGCCAAGUUUCAAACGAGUUCUCCGUUAGCUGCAGGCUAAACAGUGCGACUUCCGGUCUCCACACUCUGCUGUCUGUAAAAGGUUCCUGUGUCAUGAUGUGAAAAGAACCGAAGUUCUAGCUGAGACAAAAAUCCACAGAACCACAGAAAGAGGAGGAUGAGGCUGUGGUUCUGUCGGAAGAGAGAAACUGGUAUCUAGCAGGUUGCCAUAGGAGGCUGUUGCCAUGGUGAUGCAUCCAGUACUCUUGACAAUUCCCGCCUGCAGAAACACAAUAAAAAAAAAUAAAAAAAGUUAAU
Molecule: long non-coding RNA, 457 nt
Organism: Cyprinodon tularosa
Lineage: Eukaryota; Metazoa; Chordata; Actinopteri; Cyprinodontiformes; Cyprinodontidae
Exons: 3
Source: RefSeq, a predicted model, not a curated record